AAAAACCUCCCCCGCGCGACGCCGCUCGGCCGGCGGCUGUUGCUAAGGGAGGGGCGGCGCGGGCGAGGGCAGCGCCCCCCUGAGCGCCGUGGGUGCGCCCCACACCAGCCGGACUUGUCGCCUUUCCCCGCUUCUCUCGUUCCGCGCGCCUCACCCGAUCCUUUUUGCCUGCAUCGCCUUCCGCCAUCCCCUUCCCCCUCACAAACCUCCUCCCCAAGCCGCCCCUCCCUUCACACUUCUCCCUCAUGGCGCCCGACCAAUCAGCGACGCCUCCUUUGCGCGCCUCAUCUCUCAUUGGCUGAGACUAUCAUUAAAAUGCAGCAGCUCGGGGAGAGAGGCGUGGUUUAGUCAAUCUCUGCCUUCUGAUUGGCUGGAGGUGCGGCCUCACGGCCUAUAGAAUGCGGCUCCCGGGAAGGGGCGGAGCUAAGGCCGCUGAGGCGAAAGAAAAAGGCGGGAAGGCGCCGGAGCCCCUGAGGGGAUUUUGGCGCUUUUUCCUUUUUGGCAGCAGAAAAUCCACUCAGCACCUUCAAUCGUACUAAAAUAUAGCGGAAAAGAAAAGAUUAAACUUCAAAGAGCCCUUUAAUCCUGCAGUAUGGGUGAGGCAGAGAGCUCCCCUCCAAACCGGGCAAAAUCCUCCCCUCACGUUCUAGAUCCUCCAAAUCGGGCAGUUUUACCCAAAAAUUGAUUUUCUGGUUGUUUUCUCCUCCCCAAGAAGACACUGUUAGGCAGGCGUCCCUCUCCAGGGUCUCUGACAAGGACCUGCUGGCCAUGGCACUGAUGGCUGCCCAUGAGAGAUGCAACCCCCUGCCCUGUCAGUCCUUAAUUAGAGCCUUAACGAAGCCCUGCCUUAAUUAGGGCCCUAACACCCUCCCAGCCAAGUAGGGGUCCUAAUGAUUAGGACCCCUGGUAAUUAAGUGGGGGUCCCUAAUGAAGCCCCUCUAAUAAAGCAGGGGGUUCUCUGGA
Molecule: long non-coding RNA, 963 nt
Organism: Taeniopygia guttata (zebra finch)
Lineage: Eukaryota; Metazoa; Chordata; Aves; Passeriformes; Estrildidae
Source: RefSeq, a predicted model, not a curated record